ACUCAAAUGAAUUGACGGGGACCCGCACAAGCGGUGGAGCAUGUGGUUUAAUUCGAUACGACGCGCAGAACCUUACCAAGGCUUGACAUGGAGGGCAAAGUUGAAGAAACUCAAUGGAGGUUAUCCCGACACAGGUGGUGCAUGGUCGUCGUCAGUUCGUGUUGUGAAAUGUAUGCUUAAGUGCUAGAACGAACGCAACCCUCAUAUUCAGUUGCUAUCAUUUAGUUGAGAACUCUGGAUAGACUGCCAAGGUAACUUGGAGGAAGGAAAGGAUGACGUCUGAUCAUCAUGCCCCUUAUGCCUUGGGCUACACACGUGCUACAAUGGUUAGGACAAAGCGUUGCCAACCCGCAAGGGGGAGCCAAUCGCAAAAAACUAACCCAAGUUCGGAUUGGAGUCUGCAACUCGACUCCAUGAAGUAGGAAUCGCUAGUAAUCGUGAAUCAGCAAUGUCACGGUGAAUACGUUCUCGGGUCUUGCACACACCGCCCGU
RNAcentral lists this ribosomal RNA (492 nucleotides) under uncultured bacterium. Its description in RNAcentral is "partial 16S ribosomal RNA". It matches the Rfam family "Bacterial small subunit ribosomal RNA", at positions 899 to 1397 of the family's 1533-position model. The record is from RNAcentral.